UACAGAGGUCCCGAGCGUUGUUCGGAUUCACUGGGCGUAAAGGGUGCGUAGGUGGUGAGGUAAGUCGGAUGUGAAAUCUCCGAGCUCAACUCGGAAAUGGCAUUGGAAACUACCUUGCUCGAGGGUUGGAGGGGGGACUGGAAUGCUUGGUGUAGCAGUGAAAUGCGUAGAUCUCGAGAGGAACACCAGUGGCGAAGGCGGGUCUCUGGACAACACCUGACGCUGAGGCACGAAAGCCAGGGGAGCAAACGGG
This 253-nucleotide ribosomal RNA is filed under the name uncultured bacterium. RNAcentral's name for it is "partial 16S ribosomal RNA". It matches the Rfam family "Bacterial small subunit ribosomal RNA", at positions 524 to 776 of the family's 1533-position model. The record is from RNAcentral.